This 74-nucleotide transfer RNA is filed under the name Gemmatimonadota bacterium. RNAcentral's name for it is "Gemmatimonadetes bacterium tRNA-Val". It matches the Rfam family "tRNA". Rfam says of the family: Transfer RNA (tRNA) molecules are approximately 80 nucleotides in length. Their secondary structure includes four short double-helical elements and three loops (D, anti-codon, and T loops). RNAcentral also lists the same sequence under 1 other name. Lineage: Bacteria; Pseudomonadati; Gemmatimonadota. The record is from RNAcentral.
GGGCGCGUAGCUCAGUUGGUUAGAGUGCCACGUUGACAUCGUGGAGGUCACAGGUUCGAGUCCUGUCGCGCCCA